This 515-nucleotide ribosomal RNA is filed under the name uncultured bacterium. RNAcentral's name for it is "partial 16S ribosomal RNA". It matches the Rfam family "Bacterial small subunit ribosomal RNA", at positions 28 to 523 of the family's 1533-position model. The record is from RNAcentral.
GAUGAACGCUGGCGGCGUGCCUAAUACAUGCAAGUCGAGCGAAUGGAUUAAGAGCUUGCUCUUAUGAAGUUAGCGGCGGACGGGUGAGUAACACGCGGGUAACCUGCCCAUAAGACUGGGAUAACUCCGGGAAACCGGGGCUAAUACCGGAUAAUAUUUUGAACUGCAUGGUUCAAAAUUGAAAGGCGGCUUCGGCUGUCACUUAUGGAUGGACCCGCGUCGCAUUAGCUAGUUGGUGAGGUAACGGCUCACCAAGGCAACGAUGCGUAGCCGACCUGAGAGGGUGAUCGGCCACACUGGGACUGAGACACGGCCCAGACUCCUACGGGAGGCAGCAGUGGGGAAUAUUGCACAAUGGGCGCAAGCCUGAUGCAGCGACGCCGCGUGAGGGAUGAAGGUCUUCGGAUUGUAAGACUCUGUUGUUAGGGAAGAACAAGUGCUAGUUGAAUAAGCUGGCACCUUGACGGUACCUAACCAGAAAGCCACGGCUAACUACGUGCCAGCAGCCGCAGUAA